RNAcentral lists this ribosomal RNA (204 nucleotides) under Shewanella sp. RNAcentral's name for it is "partial 16S ribosomal RNA". It matches the Rfam family "Bacterial small subunit ribosomal RNA", at positions 1116 to 1319 of the family's 1533-position model. The record is from RNAcentral. Lineage: Bacteria; Pseudomonadati; Pseudomonadota; Gammaproteobacteria; Alteromonadales; Shewanellaceae.
UGCCAGCGGGUCAUGCCGGGAACUUUAGGGAGACUGCCGGUGAUAAACCGGAGGAAGGUGGGGACGACGUCAAGUCAUCAUGGCCCUUACGAGUAGGGCUACACACGUGCUACAAUGGUCAGUACAGAGGGUUGCGAAGCCGCGAGGUGGAGCUAAUCCCAUAAAGCUGGUCGUAGUCCGGAUUGGAGUCUGCAACUCGACUCC